GUAGUUUUCAAAAAUGUUUUUAUUUUUGAUGAGACGCUCAAUGAAAGAGGUUUAAUCGCCGGAAAACGAAAACCCGCGAUUUCCCGUAAUUCCCGGGCUUGGCCCGUAUAGUCGAAUGUAUACAAAGAAAGUAUCCUGUGAGUAAACUCAUUUCCAGAACGAUUUUUUAAAUUAUUUUUUCACCACUAAAACGCAUCAGACUUGUAGUUUUUAAAAAUGUUUUAAUUUUUGAUGAGACGCUGAAUAAAAGAAGUUUAAUCGCCGGCAAACGAAAACCCCCGAUUUCCCGUAAAUACCGGCUUGGCCCGUAUAGUCAAAAGUAUACAAAGAAAGUACCCAGGGUGUAAACUCAUUUCCCGAACGAUUUUUUAAAUUAUUUUUUCACCACUAAAACGCAUGAGACUUGUAGUUUUUAAAAAUGUUUUCAUUUUUGAUGAAACGCUGAAUAAAAGAAGUUUAAUUGCCGGCAAACGAAAACCUGCGAUUUCCCGUAAAUCCUGGACUCGGCCGUAUAGUCAAAAGUAUACAAAGAAAGUACCCAGGGAGUAAACCCAUUUCCCAAACGAUUUUUUAAAUUAUUAUUUCACCACUAAAACGCAUGAGACUUGUAGUUUUCAAGAAUGUUUUCAUUUUUGAUGAGACGCUGCAUAAAAGCAGUUUAAUCGCCGGCAAACGAAAACCCGCGAUUUCCCGUAAAUCCCGGGCUUGGCACGUAUAGUCGAAUGUAUACAAAGAAAGUACCCUGAGAGUAAACUCAUUUCCAGAACGAUUUUUUAAAUUAUUUUUUCACCACUAAAACGCAUAAGACUUGUAGUUUUUAAAAAUAUUUUCACUUUUGAUGAGACGCUGAAUAAAAGAAGUAUAAUCGCCGGCAAACGAAAACCCGCGAUUUCCCGUAAAUCCCGGGCUUGGCCCGUAUAGUCAAAAGUAUACAAAGAAGGUACACAGGGAGUAAACUCAUUUCCCGAACGAUUUUUUAUAUUAUUUUUUUACCACUAAACGCAUGAGACUUGUAGUUUUCAAAAAUAUUUUCAUAUUUGAUGGGACGCUGAAUAAAAGAAGUUUAAUUGCCGGCAAACGAAAAUCCGCGAUUUUCCGUAAAUCCCGGACUCGGCCCGUAUAGUCAAAAGUAUACAAAGAAAGUACCCAGGGAGUAAACUCAUUUCCCGAACGAUUUUUGAAAUUAUUUUUUCACCACUAAAACGCAGGAGACUUGUAGUUGUCAAAAAUGUUUUCAUUUUUGAUGAGACGCUGAAUAAAAGCAGUUUAAUCGCCGGCAAACGAAAACCUGCGAUUUCCCUAAAUCCCGGACUCGGCCCGUAUAGUCGAAUGUAUACAAAGAAAGUACCCUGAGAGUAAACUCAUUUCCCGAACGAUUUUUUAAAUUAUUUUUUCACCACUAAAACGCAUGAGACUUGUAGUUUUCAAAAAUGUUUUCAUUUUUGAUGAGACGCUGAAUAAAAGCAGUUUAAUCGCCGGCAAACGAAAACCUGCGAUUUCCCUAAAUCCCGGACUCGGCCCGUAUAGUCAAAAGUAUACAAAGAAAGUACCCAGGGAGUAAACUCAUUUCCCGAACGAUUUUUUAAAUUAUUUUUUCACCACUAAAACGCAUGAGACUUGUAGUUUUCAAAAAUGUUUUCAUUUUUGAUGAGACGCUGAAUAAAAGCAGUUUAAUCGCCGACAAACGAAAACCUGCGAUUUCCCUAAAUCCCGGACUCGGCCCGUAUAGUCAAAAGUAUACAAAGAAAGUACCCAGGUAUUAAACUCAUUUCCAGAACGAUUUUUUAAAUUAUUGCGAUGCAAUUGAGCUUUGCGAGCGAAGCGAGCGAAGCGAAAUUGUGGAGCACGUUUGCUACACGCGAGGUAUACCAAGAGAAUUAUUGAGAUUCUCAAAAUUUCGAUAGAAAAAAAAUCAUAUAAAAUCAGCGUAAAGAAAUAGGACUGAUAUUUUUGCACAUAAAGCUAGGGUAUUUUUUUUUCUAAUAAAACAAAUAAGUUUGGACCGAGGGGUUAAAGUAUAAGUUUAGUAAAAAAUGCAAUAAGUACGGCUCGUACCCCCCCACCCCCGGAUUUUGACCCCCCCCCGUCUUUUGGUCCGGAUUAUACGUCCGCCGAACUUGAACACACAAAGAGAAAUAUGCCGUGAACAAGAAACGGUAGUCGGCAUUUUAGACACGUAUAUUUUACAGACCCAAAAUAUGCCUUAUUUCUUUGUAUUAUAGCUAAUUAUUGUAUAAAUAAUUAAUUAAUUACUUUGCAAUUUUGCUUCUUAUACUAUUAUAGUUGUAUUUUAAUGAAACAUAAUAGUAUUAAAACGGUUUUCUUCUUUCGAAAAAAUUUAUUGCUAGUCCUGUUUUUAAUCGACUUUACUUGUGUAUUUUAAGCUUUUUUGUUGCUGUGCUUUUUCUGGAGAUUUUAGUUGGAUUGGAAAGCUCCUGUGUAAGGUACCCAUUCCUAAAGAAAAAUUGAAGUAAUUUGUACAAUUAAAACGCGCCGAGCUGUGUUUUAUUUUAUUGUUUCUAAGAGGAUGUAAGAAUACAAUAUUAUCAAUUUUAAUUGGUUUUAUCCAAAUCAAGAUUGUGUACAAUGGGAGUGAGUGAUGUAAUCUUCUAAUGCGUGUGGUGAAAAGAAGGCGAAUCCGUUAUUGUUUUUCUGCCCAAAUUUGAAGCUAUUUAAUAAAUCUUGAUAAAGUUAAAAAACUGUUUUGA
This is a long non-coding RNA of Hydractinia symbiolongicarpus, 2708 nucleotides long. RefSeq lists it as uncharacterized. The transcript has 2 exons. NCBI's taxonomy places the organism in Eukaryota, Metazoa, Cnidaria, Hydrozoa, Anthoathecata, Hydractiniidae. The record is from RefSeq and is a predicted model, not a curated record.